This 253-nucleotide ribosomal RNA is filed under the name uncultured bacterium. RNAcentral's name for it is "partial 16S ribosomal RNA". It matches the Rfam family "Bacterial small subunit ribosomal RNA", at positions 524 to 776 of the family's 1533-position model. The record is from RNAcentral.
UACGUAGGGUGCAAGCGUUGUCCGGAAUUACUGGGCGUAAAGCGUGCGCAGGCGGUUUUGUAAGUCUGACGUGAAAUCCCCGGGCUCAACCUGGGAAUUGCGUUGGAGACUGCAAGGCUAGAAUCUGGCAGAGGGGGGUAGAAUUCCACGUGUAGCAGUGAAAUGCGUAGAGAUGUGGAGGAACACCGAUGGCGAAGGCAGCCCCCUGGGUCAAGAUUGACGCUCAUGCACGAAAGCGUGGGGAGCAAACAGG